UACGUAGGUGGCAAGCGUUGUCCGGAAUCACUGGGCGUAAAGCGCGCGCAGGCGGCGAUCUACGUCUGGGGUGAAAGCCCGGAGCUCAACUCCGGGACUGCCUUGGAUACGGGAUCGCUUGAGGAUUGGAGAGGCAAGGGGAAUUCCACGUGUAGCGGUGAAAUGCGUAGAUAUCGUUUGGAACGCCGAUGGUGAAAACAGGUCGCUGGGGCUGUGCUGACGCUGAGACACGAAAGCCAGGGGAGCGAACGGG
RNAcentral lists this ribosomal RNA (253 nucleotides) under uncultured bacterium. Its description in RNAcentral is "partial 16S ribosomal RNA". It matches the Rfam family "Bacterial small subunit ribosomal RNA", at positions 524 to 776 of the family's 1533-position model. The record is from RNAcentral.